AACGAACGCUGGCGGCGUGCUUAACACAUGCAAGUCGAACGAGAAAGUUUCUUCGGAAAUGAGUAAAGUGGCGCACGGGUGAGUAACGCGUAGAUAACCUGUCCAAGCGAUUGGGAUAGCCCUCCGAAAGGGGGAUUAAUACCGGAUACGUUGAUUACUUUUAAGGGUAAUCAAGAAAGGCGGCCUCUAUUUAUAAGCUGUCGCGCAUGGAGGGGUCUGCGUACCAUUAGUUUGUUGGUGGGGUAAUGGCCUACCAAGACUACGAUGGUUAACGGGUCUGAGAGGAUGAUCCGUCACACUGGCACUGAAACACGGGCCAGACUCCUACGGGAGGCAGCAGUGAGGAAUAUUGCGCAAUGGGGGAAACCCUGACGCAGCGACGCCGCGUGGGUGAGGAAGGCUUUCGGGUCGUAAAACCCUGUCAGAAGGGAAGAAAUGCUUAUGGGCUAAUAUCUUGUAAGUUUGACGGUACC
RNAcentral lists this ribosomal RNA (473 nucleotides) under uncultured Desulfobacterales bacterium. RNAcentral's name for it is "bacterial SSU rRNA". It matches the Rfam family "Bacterial small subunit ribosomal RNA", at positions 29 to 479 of the family's 1533-position model. Lineage: Bacteria; Pseudomonadati; Thermodesulfobacteriota; Desulfobacteria; Desulfobacterales. The record is from RNAcentral.